Molecule: transfer RNA, 72 nt
Filed under: Rhipicephalus microplus (southern cattle tick)
Lineage: Eukaryota; Metazoa; Arthropoda; Arachnida; Ixodida; Ixodidae
Description: tRNA-Asp
Rfam family: tRNA
About the family: Transfer RNA (tRNA) molecules are approximately 80 nucleotides in length.
Source: Rfam by way of RNAcentral
UCCUCGUUAGUAUAGCGGUCAGUAUCCCCGCCUGUCACGCGGGAGUCGGGGGUUCGAUUCCCCGACGGGGAG